UACGAAGGGUGCAAGCGUUACUCGGAAUUACCGGGCGUAAAGCGUGCGUAGGCGGUUUGUUAAGUCUGAUGUGAAAGCCCUGGGCUCAACCUGGGAACGGCAUUGGAAACUGGCUUACUAGAGUGCGGUAGAGGGGUGUGGAAUUCCCGGUGUAGCAGUGAAAUGCGUAGAUAUCGGGAGGAACAUCUGUGGCGAAGGCGACACCCUGGACCAGCACUGACACUGAGGCACGAAAGCGUGGGGAGCAAACAGG
Molecule: ribosomal RNA, 253 nt
Filed under: uncultured bacterium
Lineage: Bacteria
Description: partial 16S ribosomal RNA
Rfam family: Bacterial small subunit ribosomal RNA
Source: RNAcentral